UGGGCUAUAUGUUCUGUUUUGGUGGAUGGUGGAUUGCCCCAUCUGUCUAGUGAUGAAAAUGCUAAGACCAAAAUGUGUCGAUGUUCAUGGUCAAGUGUUUGAAAGUACUAAUCUCAUACCUAGUAUGGGAUAGGGAAGCAUAGUACCUAAUUGAACCGACAUGUGGGAAUACUCCCCGCUCUCUGUGGAACGGAGUUUCUCCUAGUGCACAAUGUGGGUACAAGUGCAGGCAUAGUACGACGACAAUCUAGGACCGUGGGGCAUUGUAUCCAAG
RNAcentral lists this long non-coding RNA (274 nucleotides) under Setaria viridis. RNAcentral describes it as "long non-coding RNA (SVIR_LNC006819)". The record is from RNAcentral. Lineage: Eukaryota; Viridiplantae; Streptophyta; Magnoliopsida; Poales; Poaceae.